GACGAACCGUGCAAACGUUAUUCGGAAUCACUGGGCAUAAAGGGCGCGUAGGCGGCUCCACAAGUCAGGGGUGAAAUCCGGCAGCUUAACUGUCGCAGUGCCUUUGAUACUGUGGAGCUAGAGGGAGGUAGGGGUCUGUGGAACUUCCGGUGGAGCGGUGAAAUGCGUUGAUAUCGGAAGGAACGCCGGUGGCGAAAGCGACGGACUGGAUCUCUUCUGACGCUGAGGCGCGAAAGCCAGGGGAGCAAACGGG
RNAcentral lists this ribosomal RNA (253 nucleotides) under uncultured bacterium. RNAcentral's name for it is "partial 16S ribosomal RNA". It matches the Rfam family "Bacterial small subunit ribosomal RNA", at positions 524 to 776 of the family's 1533-position model. The record is from RNAcentral.